This 573-nucleotide ribosomal RNA is filed under the name Trichoderma gamsii. RNAcentral describes it as "eukaryotic LSU rRNA". The stretch from base 182 to 335 matches the Rfam family "5.8S ribosomal RNA". Lineage: Eukaryota; Fungi; Ascomycota; Sordariomycetes; Hypocreales; Hypocreaceae. The record is from RNAcentral.
GGGGUCGGGGUCACUCCAACCCAUGUGACCAUACCAAACUGUUGCCUCGGCGGGGUCACGCCCCGGGUGCGUCGCAGCCCCGGAACCAGGCGCCCGCCGGAGGGACCAACCAAACUCUUUCUGUAGUCCCCUCGCGGACGUUAUUUCUUACAGCUCUGAGCAAAAAUUCAAAAUGAAUCAAAACUUUCAACAACGGAUCUCUUGGUUCUGGCAUCGAUGAAGAACGCAGCGAAAUGCGAUAAGUAAUGUGAAUUGCAGAAUUCAGUGAAUCAUCGAAUCUUUGAACGCACAUUGCGCCCGCCAGUAUUCUGGCGGGCAUGCCUGUCCGAGCGUCAUUUCAACCCUCGAACCCCUCCGGGGGGUCGGCGUUGGGGAUCGGGAACCCCUAAGACGGGAUCCCGGCCCCGAAAUACAGUGGCGGUCUCGCCGCAGCCUCUCCUGCGCAGUAGUUUGCACAACUCGCACCGGGAGCGCGGCGCGUCCACGUCCGUAAAACACCCAACUUCUGAAAUGUUGACCUCGGAUCAGGUAGGAAUACCCGCUGAACUUAAGCAUAUCAAAGGCCGGAGGAAA